Molecule: RNA transcript, 2976 nt
Organism: Oncorhynchus keta (chum salmon)
Lineage: Eukaryota; Metazoa; Chordata; Actinopteri; Salmoniformes; Salmonidae
Exons: 5
Source: RefSeq, a predicted model, not a curated record
AUAUUAUAUUAUUAUAUAUAUUAUUAUAUUAUUAUAUUAUAUAUAUUAGAGUGAGCAUCCAUCCACGUCCUGCGUGGAGAGGCGACACUGAGUCAACAUGUGAAUUAUAUUACAUCCGGGUUGGUUUACAAACCACAUUGACAUACAUGGAAAACUGUUCACAUGGAACCCAACCCGGCUGCGUUGUCCCCCCACACCAAACACAACACGCAGGUUAAAAUAUCAAAACAAACUCUGAUUUGUCUCCGAGGCAAUUCCAGGAGCUGCUCAGGAUGGAGACUGGCACGCCAAAUGGUCACCUACCUGAUGUCACCAGGGCAGGUGCCAACCAGUCCCCCAGACAGGCACUCCAGACAGAUACAGGGACUACUCAUAAAGCCUAGACAUAGUAGGGGAACUUCAGACAUGGCCAUAAAGAGAGAGACGGCAGGGCACUGGAGAUGUGAGGUACAGAGAGGAGUGGAAGAGAGGUGUGUGUGUCUGGAACAUACAUGUCUAGCCACAAUACAGACAGUUUCAGCAAAUAGGAAUAACGACGUUGGCAAUCGGGAGCACUUGGCGGUGAAGUUGGCAUUAGAGGAGUGGAGACACUGGCUGGAGGGUGCCAAGGAACCAUUCUUCAUCCUCACCGACCAUCUGAACCUUGAGUACAUACGGACAGCGAGGAGACUGAAGCCGCGUCAAGCCAGAUGGGCCCUCUUCUUCACCAGGUUCGACUUCACACUGACCUAUUCCCCAGGUUCUAAGAACAUCAAGGCCUAUACCCUGUCCCGUAUCUAUGAUUUGGGAGAGACUCCUGUCCAGAGGGCACUUAUAAUCCCAUCCUCCCGAGUUGUGGGUCCAGUGGUUUGGGACGUAGAGGUGGACAUCCGCCAGGGUCUACAGAGGGAGCCCACACCCCGUAAUUCUACUCCCUCGCGCAUCUACGUUCCCACAAGGAAUAGGGAUCGGCUGCUGACCUGGGCACACACAUCUACGUUCCCACAGGGAAAAGGGAUCGGCUGCUGACCUGGGCACACACAUCUACGUUCCCACAGGGAAAAGGGAUCGGCUGCUGACCUGGGCACACACAUCUACGUUCCCACAGGGAAAAGGGAUCGGCUGCUGACCUGGGCACACACAUCUACGUUCCCACAGGGAAAAGGGAUCGGCUGCUGACCUGGGCACACACAUAUACGUUCCCACGGGGAAAAGGGAUCGGCUGCUGACCUGGGCACACACAUCUACGUUCCCACAAGGAAUAGGGAUCGGCUGCUUACCUGGGCACACACAUAUACGUUCCCACGGGGAAAAGGGAUCGGCUGCUGACCUGGGCACACACAUCUACGUUCCCACAAGGAAUAGGGAUCGGCUGCUUACCUGGGCACACACAUCUACGUUCCAUCAGGGAAUAGGGAUCGGCUGCUGACCUGGGCACACACAUCUACGUUCCAUCAGGGAAAAGGGAUCGGCUGCUUACCUGGGCACACACAUCUACGUUCCCACAAGGAAUAGGGAUCGGCUGCUUACCUGGGCACACACAUCUACGUUCCAUCAGGGAAUAGGGAUCGGCUGCUGACCUGGGCACACACAUCUACGUUCCAUCAGGGAAAAGGGAUCGGCUGCUGACCUGAGGACACAGCUGGCCUCGCUGGACAUCCAGGUAUUUCUCGCACCAUCCAUUCCAUCACUGAGAAAUACUGGUGGCCCACCGUGGUGCGGGAUGUUACGUGGUAUGUCAACUCCUGUUCCAUGUGUGCUCAAACCAAGUCUCUCUCUCCCCCUCCCCCCGGAAUGCUCCAGCAGGGAAGCUCCUGCCGCUUCCCACGCCUCAGAGACCUUGGUCCCAUCUACCCAUUGACUUUGUUACGGAUCUUCCCCCUUCUGAUGGUUUCACCACCAUUCUGCUGGUUGUGGAUAGAUUCUCCAAGUCAUGUCAUUUAAUCCUGGUCUUCCCACUGCUCUCCAGGUCAAUGAGGUCUUCCGGUAUUAUGGUCUUCCGAAAGACAUUGUCUCAGACUGUGGACCAGAAUUCACAUCCCGAGUAUUGAGGGCCUUCUUGGAGAAGCUUGGGGUCAUGGUUAGCCUCACAUCCAGGUAUUGGCCUCAGUCUAACUUGCAGGUGGAGAGAGCUGGGGAGUUUCCUGAGGAGUCACUGUCAGGACCGGCAGGGUGAGUGGGCACGUUUCCUUCCUUGGGCAGAGUACGCCCAGAACUCUCUACAUCGCUCCUCUACUGGGUUGACCAUCUUCCAGUGUGUUGGGUUUCCAGCCGGCCCUGACCCUGUGAACCCCGGGCCAGACUGCGGCUUCUGCAGUAGAUGAGUGGUUCCGGUGUGGCGAGGAGGUGUGGAACAAUGCGCCUUUAACUCCAGCAUGCCGUCCGUCAUCAGAAGGAGCAGGCUCUCUACCAGGAACCUCCCACUCCACCUGCCCUGCAAGAAACUGAGCCCCCGGCUGGUGGUUCCUGGUCCCCUAACUGAUGCUGUCCCCCACAACACACCUCCACCCCCCUGGACAUCGAGGGGAGACCGGCGUACGCUGUCAGAUCCCUACUGGACUCCCGACGUCGUGGGGCCGCCUCCAGUAUCUGGUGGACUGGGAGGGGUAUGGCCCAGAGGGGUGUUGGGUUCCAGUGGAAGACAUUCUGGAUUCCAACAUCAUUGGUGAUUUCCACCUUCGCCGCCUGGACCGAUCCGCUCCUUGUCCUUGAGGUCGUCCUGUUGCUGGAUUCGCACGUCAGAGGGGGGAUACUGUACUGUCUUCCCCUCCGGCGUACAACGUCGCCAGAGUACUAACCACCGGUCCUGGGAUUCAUCAGCACGCAUACCUGUGAAUCAUUAUGAUUCACACAUGGACUCCAUUACCUUAAAUUCCUCCCCUUUAUGUCACUCUUCCAGGUUCACUCACCAGUUGGUAUUGUUCUUGUGUAUCGGCGUUCUGCCUUAUGUUUGUGUUGUGUUCUUGGUUUUGUUGUAUUAAAACGUUUCACCUGAAA